RNAcentral lists this ribosomal RNA (465 nucleotides) under uncultured bacterium. RNAcentral describes it as "partial 16S ribosomal RNA". It matches the Rfam family "Bacterial small subunit ribosomal RNA", at positions 28 to 507 of the family's 1533-position model. The record is from RNAcentral.
GACGAACGCUGGCGGCGUGCUUAACACAUGCAAGUCGAACGGAAAGGCCCCUUCGGGGGUACUCGCGUGGCGAACGGGUGAGUAACACGUGCGUAACCUGCCCUUGACUUCGGGAUAACUUCAGGAAACUGGGGCUAAUACCGACUAGGAAUCCUUGCUGCCUGGUGGGGGUUGGAAAGCUUCGGCGGUUUUGGAUGGACUCGCGGCUUAUCAGCUUGUUGGUGGGGUAGUGGCUUACCAAGGCUUUGACGGGUAGCCGGCCUGGGAGGGCGACCGGCCACAUUGGGACUGAGAUACGGCCCAGACUCCUACGGGGGGCAGCAGGGGGGAAUAUUGCACAAUGGGCGGAAGCCUGAUGCAGGAACGCCGCGUGCGGGAUGACGGCCUUCGGGUUGGAAACCGCUUUCAGCAGGGGCGAAGCUUGUGGUGACGGUACCUGCAGAAGAAGCACCGGCUAACUACGUG